UCGAAAACGGUUUACACUAGUUACCACAGCCACAAAGUCAACAGAGUAUAUAGUAAAAAUUCGUGGAAACAAAACUUUAGCUUUUUGGUCUUGAUUUAACGUUAGGGCUAGUAGUGGUGUGAUUAAGGCCAGGUUUAAAAUUCAAUUUUAAGAAGAGUAAUUGUAGAAAUAGGCUGGGAUAACUAGUGACGACCCUCGAAACUGGUCGCUUUCUACUUUUACGUAAACACGUCCACUUUACGUUCAUAUCAUAGUGUACAUCGCUGCUUGACUCACUGUAUUAAUUUAACCUAUUUAAUCCAAUCGGUGACAAUCGUGACCGUAAAAAAACGUUUUCAGUUAUAAGGCUCUAAAAUGUGUAUGUAUCAAUGCAUUCACUGCAAGUAUUGAAAUAAUAAAGGGUCCCAAUGAAAUAUGUGCAGUGUCACAUGUUUAGUGUAAUUUGUCACAUGACCAGAGCUGUUUACUUCCUGGUUGCACCAUGAGAAGACGAUGGCUGCAUCAAAGCUCCCAAACAAAAGUUUCACUUUGAGUCAAAUUCUGGAUAUGUUGGAUCUAGGUGACUUCCCAGACAAGGCAUGUAAACAUUGCAGUUAUCCCUCAUAAUGAGAAAGAUGCUGUCCUCCGUGAUUGUAAUAGUGACGGGUCAGAUAUGGACUAUGGACAGGCCAUUUGCCAGCCAGGCUGUUGAAUGCAUAUGCUGAUCCUAUGCAAACAGAUCAUGACAGGAACAACAUUAUCAGGGAUGAUGACCUAUCCACCCCCCAUUGUUAAUAAUGAAGAGCCAAGGGCCUCUACCUGACCGAGCGGUCAGCCAGAAGAGCCAGGGGAAAAGCUGCAAGUGGUCAAAAAUAAAGAUUGAGUGUUCAAAGAUGCCUGCCACCGAUGUGAUUCCAAACCACAUAGUAUACAGCCCAAAUGUGCAAAAGUUUGGCACGAAACCACUGAGCCACGGAAGGAGAUCUUUACUGGCUGUUACUGUUGAAGAUCAGGCAAGAUAUGACAAAGCUUCUUACUGGCCAAUCAACAUGAUGCACCGGUUCCAGAGAUGUCGUCAUUGUGACAAACACACUACCUAUGCAAGUGAAAAAUGCAAAGCGCCACUGUACAUUGAGUGCUUCAAAAUAUACCAUGGACAGUAGAAAAGGAGAUAAGAGUGAAUGAAAAAGGGCCGAAAAAGAAAAAUAGAAAAGUGGAUAAAGGGUGAGAAGAAGCAGUACAACAGACUCUUGGAAGAAAAUAAAAGUACACGAAAAAGACAAUCAAAAUGAAUCAAAAUAUUUUUUGGGGAAAAGGUCAAUUGAUUAGUGAUGCACAAACUAAUCAUGCACUUGGUUCUGAAGCCUACCUCUAUGAUAUAUAUAUAUAUAUGCACUCAAUGUGGUGCUUUUUAUGUAUAUAUAUUAUUUUGUUUAGCAUAGGCCUCUACUUGAAUGCAUAUUCUACAGGCUACCUCUAUCCUAAAUGUUACCUUUAUGUUCAGUGGAAAUUAAUCACACGACUGCUAUACAGUUAUGAGUGUUGCACUAAAAUGUCACAAUGACAAUGUUAAAAUGAAUAUUGCACUAAAGUACAAGUUCAAAUGUUAAAGUAACAAUAUUAAGAUCUCAAUACAUGUUGCACUAAAGUACAAGUGCAAAUGUUACAAUAAAGUAACAAUAUUAAUGUCUCAAUACAUGUUGCACUAAAGUAACAAUGUUGAAAUACGUU
Molecule: long non-coding RNA, 1710 nt
Organism: Oncorhynchus nerka (sockeye salmon)
Lineage: Eukaryota; Metazoa; Chordata; Actinopteri; Salmoniformes; Salmonidae
Exons: 2
Source: RefSeq, a predicted model, not a curated record